RNAcentral lists this ribosomal RNA (406 nucleotides) under uncultured bacterium. RNAcentral describes it as "partial 16S ribosomal RNA". It matches the Rfam family "Bacterial small subunit ribosomal RNA", at positions 30 to 526 of the family's 1533-position model. The record is from RNAcentral.
AUUGAACGCUGGCGGCAGGCCUAACACAUGCAAGUCGAACGAGUGGCGGACGGGUGAGUAAUGUCUGGGAAACUGCCCGAUGGAGGGGUAUAACUACUGGAAACGGUAGAUAAUACCGCAUAACAUCCUAUGUGCCCAGAUGGGAGUAGCUAGUAGGUGGGGUAACGGCUCACCUAGGCGAAGAUCCCUAGCUGGUCUGAGAGGAUGACCAGCCACACUGGAACUGAGACACGGGCCAGACUCCUACGGGAGGCAGCAGUGGGGAAUAUUGCACAAUGGGCGCAAGACUGAUGCAGCCAUGCCGCGUGUAUGAAGAAGGCGUUCGGGUUGUAAAGUACUUUCAGCGGGGAGGCGUUACCCGCAGAAGAAGCACCGGCUAACUCCGUGCCAGCAGCCGCGGUAAUUC